GGCAAACUGAAUCAAAUGGAGGCAGCGAAACCUGUUUAGCGACGCCGACGGGUUGGCGACCCGCCUACGUUUCUUUGGAUUGGAGGCUUCCCGGACACCGUGAUCGUGUAACGUAUCCCAUCCAAUGAAGAGGCAAGCCGGCUGUCGACGGUAUACGCAGGCGUACACGGCGCAGUGGGCACCGCGCCCACCGUUGCCCGAACGUCGGAAGGCGCUGCACGGUUGGCCGGGCGCGCGACGCCCGACUGAAUCGCACGCGAGUGGAGCAGCACACAGCAUAGCUACCGAGCGCGCAACAAGCGUUACGGUGGAUGAGCUGCUGCUCGAGCCACCACUGCAAGAGGCAUCGGUGACCCCCCUGGUGGUGGCUCGGUGUCCGGAUGUCUCAUCCCUGAAAAGAAACCCGCCUGGGCUAUGUACCACUGGAGCUGUCAGUGCGCUGUCCGAGCUGCGCAGAGCCACGCACUGGCAGGAACUCGAAAGUGACUCAACUCUGACACUGG
Molecule: long non-coding RNA, 503 nt
Organism: Dermacentor albipictus
Lineage: Eukaryota; Metazoa; Arthropoda; Arachnida; Ixodida; Ixodidae
Source: RefSeq, a predicted model, not a curated record